AGUGAACGCUGGCGGCAGGCCUAACACAUGCAAGUCGAACGGCAGCACAGAGGAGCUUGCUCCUUGGGUGGCGAGUGGCGGACGGGUGGAGGAAUACAUCGGAAUCUGCCCAGUCGGUGGGGGAUAACAUAGGGAAACUUAUGCUAAUACCGCAUACGACCUACGGGUGAAAGCGGGGGAUCGCAAGACCUCGCGCGAUUGGAUGAGCCGAUGUCCGAUUAGCUAGUUGGCGGGGUAAUGGCCCACCAAGGCGACGAUCGGUAGCUGGUCUGAGAGGAUGAUCAGCCACACUGGAACUGAGACACGGUCCAGACUCCUACGGGAGGCAGCAGUGGGGAAUAUUGGACAAUGGGCGCAAGCCUGAUCCAGCCAUGCCGCGUGGGUGAAGAAGGCC
RNAcentral lists this ribosomal RNA (394 nucleotides) under uncultured bacterium. RNAcentral describes it as "bacterial SSU rRNA". It matches the Rfam family "Bacterial small subunit ribosomal RNA", at positions 30 to 416 of the family's 1533-position model. The record is from RNAcentral.